Molecule: transfer RNA, 71 nt
Filed under: Trichosporon asahii var. asahii CBS 8904
Lineage: Eukaryota; Fungi; Basidiomycota; Tremellomycetes; Trichosporonales; Trichosporonaceae
Description: tRNA-Ala (CGC) (tRNA-Ala-CGC-1 2 to 4, tRNA-Ala-CGC-1-7, tRNA-Ala-CGC-1-9)
Rfam family: tRNA
About the family: Transfer RNA (tRNA) molecules are approximately 80 nucleotides in length. Their secondary structure includes four short double-helical elements and three loops (D, anti-codon, and T loops).
Source: RNAcentral
GGGGAAUUCGUCUAGUGGUAAGACGCGGACUUCGCAUGUCUGAAACCGGUGUUCGAUUCACCGAUUCUCCA